Molecule: ribosomal RNA, 252 nt
Filed under: uncultured bacterium
Lineage: Bacteria
Description: partial 16S ribosomal RNA
Rfam family: Bacterial small subunit ribosomal RNA
Source: RNAcentral
ACGAAGGGUGCAAGCGUUGUUCGGAUUUAUUGGGCGUAAAGCGUACGCAGGCGGAUUAGUAAGUCAGAUGUGAAAUCUCGGGGCUCAACCUCGAAACUGCGUCUGAAACUACUAGUCUAGAAUAUCGGAGAGGGAAGUGGAAUAUCGCAUGUAGGGGUAAAAUCCGUAGAGAUGCGAUGGAACACCAGAGGCGAAGGCGGCUUCCUGGACGAUUAUUGACGCUGAGGUACGAAAGCGUGGGGAGCGAACAGG